RNAcentral lists this ribosomal RNA (236 nucleotides) under uncultured bacterium. RNAcentral describes it as "partial 16S ribosomal RNA". It matches the Rfam family "Bacterial small subunit ribosomal RNA", at positions 15 to 253 of the family's 1533-position model. The record is from RNAcentral.
GAUCAUGGCUCAGAUUGAACGCUGGCGGCAUGCCUUACACAUGCAAGUCGAACGGUAACAGGUCUUUCGGGAUGCUGACGAGUGGCGAACGGGUGAGUAAUACAUCGGAACGUGCCUAGUAGUGGGGGAUAACUACUCGAAAGAGUGGCUAAUACCGCAUGAGAUCUAUGGAUGAAAGCAGGGGACCUUCGGGCCUUGUGCUACUAGAGCGGCCGAUGGCAGAUUAGGUAGUUGGG